CCUACGGUGAGCAGCAGUGAGGAAUAUUGGUCAAUGGGAGAGAUCCUGAACCAGCCAAGCCGCGUGAGGGAAGACGGCCCUAUGGGUUGUCAACCUCUUUUGUCGGAGAACAAAACCCGGGACGAGUCCCGGGCUGCGUGUAUCCGAAGAAAAAGCAUCGGCUAACUCCGUGCCAGCAGCCGCGGUAAUACGGAGGAUGAGAGCGUUAUACGGAUUGAUUGGGUUUAAAGGGUGCGUAGGCGGUCUGUUAAGUCAGCGGUAAAAUUGCGUGGCUCAAACCCGUCGAGCCGUUGAUACUGGCAGACUUGAGUUGGCGAGAAGUACGCGGAAUGCGCGGUGUAGCGGUGAAAUGCAUAGAGAGCGCGCAGAACUCCGAGUGCGAAGGCAGCGUACCGGCGCCAGACUGACGCUGAGGCACGAAAGCGUGGGGAUCGAACAGGAUUAGAUACCCCUGUAGUC
This 459-nucleotide ribosomal RNA is filed under the name uncultured bacterium. RNAcentral's name for it is "partial 16S ribosomal RNA". It matches the Rfam family "Bacterial small subunit ribosomal RNA", at positions 338 to 795 of the family's 1533-position model. The record is from RNAcentral.